Long non-coding RNA from Panicum virgatum (switchgrass), 6090 nucleotides. RefSeq lists it as uncharacterized. The transcript has 3 exons. NCBI's taxonomy places the organism in Eukaryota, Viridiplantae, Streptophyta, Magnoliopsida, Poales, Poaceae. The record is from RefSeq and is a predicted model, not a curated record.
CAAGGCCACAACCCCAAACCAACCAACCCACCUCUCUCUUUUUUGCACCGCCCAACGCUGCUGGGCUGCGCGUGGCGGCGUCCACCGAGCCACCGAGUAACUCCCGGCGCCGGCGACUUCUCCCAAUCCUCUUCCAGUGCUCGCGCCUCAAGCUCCACAGCACCGCCGCGAUGCUCUUUCUUCCAGUGCUAGCGCCAUCGGUUUUGUCAGUAGCGACCUAGCUUGCUCUUGCUGCAACGCCGUGCCGCGGACGUCCGUGAUGCGCUCGACGAAAUGCUGCGUCGGGCCAUAGGCGAGUGCAGAUGGGUCCUUACUCCUUUGGCCCCGUGUUCCAGCGUCGUUUAGGCCCCGCACCUGCGGCGCUGAUCCGCUCGUGGUCGUGGACAUCUGCAACGGCCACGGCCUCGUAAUUGUUGCCACCUGUGGCCUGCCGGUCGAAGCACUCUUUGCCUCCGCGCGCAGUGAUAGGAGUUUACGUGGAUAAACGGUCCCGGGAGGUGGGAGCACCUGGUACACGAGUGUAUCGAUAUUUUGCGUAAACUCCAUCUCGAGGCCAUGGUUCAUGGCACGCUCUGAUUGAGGUGAGGGGCUGAUUAACUGAUUCUGAUCAUGGGUGAGGUGACAUGACGAUUGAGGUUGUGGGAGUCAGUAGUAGGUAGAAUGUGAUGGAUAUAGAUGAUCUCCUGGGCAGUGUGGUACUGAGCAUGAGAAAAAAGGUGGGUGCUAGACUGUCAGGGCCCGGAGAAGAGGAGGAAAACAUGAAACCUGUCUUGAGGGGUAAAGGUUGUUUCUGAAUGUUUCAUAGGCAAGUUUUUGUACUGAAUUCCAUGUCGAUUUACAUGUCUAUUAUUCUAGAUUCUGUUUAUUUGUUAGAGAUUAUGGUUCUUCAGAUUAGAGUUGAACCACUGAUGAGAGGAUGACACAAUUGCCAUUUUGUAAUUAUUGAUAUGACCACCUUUCUGCUUCCUAUGACAUUUUUCUACUUAUAAAUAUAACCACGUAAUGUGUUCCUGGGAAUUACUUUAAUGAUAUUUGAAUUCAGCAUUUUUAGUAAUCUUGUGAGGACUCCAUAGUACCUUAUAUGACCUUUAGUUAUUGCUACUCAAAAUAUUAGUUCGGUAGAUGGCUUUGCACAGUAUGCAACCAAUGUUGCCAUAUGCCAGUGUUCUUUUGAGGCAUAUUGCCUAUAUAUUUUUCAAUAUAGGUUUUCUUCAUCUAUUAUUUUCUCUGUGCUUCACAUUGCAGGAAACAAUGUAUUGGACAAGUCUGAUCUCCAAUGUACGUCAAGGGUUCUCAAGUAUAGACUUGCUGAAGGGAAUGCAAUAUGCCUUUUGUUUUAGGACAUAUAUUCGUUAUGAUAUUUUUAAAUCUGUUCUAAUGAAUAAGUCUGGCCAUCUUUGUGCUGGCAGAAAAGAUUGCAGAAAAGCUUUUUAAUUCUGUAGCAACUAGAUUUGAGGGGAGAUUCGGGAUCCUCCACAAGAACAUCCUUAACUGUUUAGGUGUCAGUCUUGGCGCAUGCUGCCAGCUACCUUGGAGUGAGGAAAACCACAUGUCACUGUUUUUGCAGUAGUACAUGGUGUGAGCAAAUCUGCAUAUCUUGCAAAAUGUUAUUCUCCUUCCACGUUACUUCUGCUAAAACUGUUUACUAUCUUGAAAUCGCACAACUUGCAUACUGGCAUAUUGGGACUGGCUUAUCCUCAGCACAAUGCUGGCAACAUGCGACACCUUCUGCAUGCUUAUACUAGCUGGGUUCAAAUAGUAUCUUAACCCUUGUAUUGAAUAAAUUAAUAAUAAUAUAUUUUUGUACAUUUGGUGGUCUUGAGCUUCAUGUGGUGCUUAACCUUUUUCUUUGAAAUUUCAGUGAUUAGGCAUUCCUCUACAUCAAGUACAAUGGAAAGACAAAAUCUUUCUGAAAUGGCUGGCUGAAAUGGCUGGGCUGGCUGAAGCUGGAUGGGCUGGCUGUUUCAGCAAGCCAACCAGCCCAGCCACUUCAUCCCAGCCGAACAGGCUGUAAAUUGUCAUAUAGUUUGCUUCUAAAAUUUCUACGGGCCAUAGUUAUCUUUCAUUUUGAUUUCCCCCUCUCCUUACAUCUAAAGAGGACGGACAUAAACUUGACUUGCUCCAAUGCCCAUCUAGUGUUUAAGUGUUGUCAUGUGCCAUCAGGCUUAAAAUUGACGAUUGCCAUUUGGUAGAGGCUUCAGAAUCACAGCUGUUGCUCAAUCUUGCUCAUUGUCACAUAAUACAGUAUACAGUCUGUUGGUUUUGUUUGCUUGGCAUGUUCAUCUGGGGACUCAAACUGUAAACCUUAGUACAAAUUCAUGGCGUUCAUAUUUUCGUUAGAUAGGAUAUUUCUUUGUUAAUCCAUAAGUUAUUAGUCUGCGGUUUUAUGACUAGGCUGCAACUCUUGAACAUCCAAUGCAUCUUCCUCUGCUAAUUGAUUUGCAGGCACGCAGCUUCCAUUUUAUCACGCAGCAUAGUUGGUUUUUCAUCUCUUUUUGCUUCUUUAGGCUGCUAUUAUGAGUCAAACAUUAUGUCCAUAACUAUCUUUGUUUUUCAUCACCUGUUUUUCACCUUCUAUGGGUUGGGUAGUUCAUGAUCUAUUCCUGAAGAAAGUAAAUGCACGCAUUCUGCAGCUAACCAUGGAUGUCCAUUAUUGGAUCUUGAUGUAACCUCUUUCGGCACAACUUUUUCGUCAACCUGAUAAACAUUCCAGGUACGUUAUAUCAUCCUUUAGCCAUCGUGGAAAGUCUGUGUCAAAGGUUCUUUAUUAUAAAUUAAAUUUUCUAUGAAGAGCCUUCUUCUUGAAGAUAAAAGAGCAUCUCUUUUCAUCUUCUCUUUCGUUGAUCAGAUGCCUUACGGCAGACAUGUGUUUGGCAUUGACGCAUUAGCCAAUUUCUAGGGACAUAUUCCUGCUUUCCAGAAAUUUAAUACCGAAACAUUAUCAUAACGUCAAUUCUAUGGUAGGCAAGAGGCAAAAAGAAUUUAGUAUUAGAAACAAAAUUUGUAUGUUUGAUGAAGACAUGAUAUUCUGUAGAAAAGCAUAUUUCAUGAGCUUCGUCGGUUUGCAAGUCCAUUGGCCCAGGAAAGCUUUGAGAAGCGAGAGGAUCAGCUUUAAUUUCCUUCUACAAUGAUAUUUUGUCACGCCGCUUCCUAGUUCUUUCUUGCACAUAUGAAGAUAGUUUCAUUCCCUGAAAUUGACUACCAACUAUAUUCUUGUUUCAUGGCAUGAAUUUAGUAACAUUAGCUGAAGGUUCUCCCUGUCUUCUCAUUACAAUUGUUUUUUCAGGUAUACUGAAGCUCAGUUGGCACUUGUAUGCUUGUGCAGAGGCACACAGCUACAAUUUGUCGGCUGAGGGAAAAGAGAGCUAGUUUCUUCAUUACAAUUGGAUUCGAAUUUUGUAGUGCAGCUAUCAAACGGACUGGCCAAGGUAAGUGAAUGAUUCUUUUAGGCAUCUCUUGCUAACUAGUGCACGUAAUCUUACACUUGUGUUGUUUCUGCUACACAAACAAUUCUGUCUGUUGGAUUGGCGAUGUUAUUGCCAACUUGACCCAGGAUAUUUGGGCAUCUAUUUGGCAUAUAUUUGCCUGUGCGUCUUGACUCAAAUAGCUUCUGAAAAUAACUUGUGCGGAUGCAAAUCUUCAGCACAAACUUAGAAUCUGCAGUUGACCUACUAAGAUCAUCUUACUGGACCAUGUAUGCAUUAUUUAUGCUCCACCGUUGCCAUAACGUCAGAUGAAUGACAUGUCGCUUGAAAGCACAAUUCCAUCUCCAUCAAAGAACUGAUUCCUGAAGUCUUGUAUGAUACAUUGAAUACUCACAGUGACUUGAUUUUCAUUUAGAGUGCAGGAGAUUGGCUAAACAAAAAAGAACACUGGUCUGUACGUCCUAUUUUCCAGGUACACUACUCUUAUGUUAAGGCCUGUAGAACUGAACUUUGAAGUUCCUUGCAAAGGCACCUACUUCUCCUUUUCGCAGCUGUUUUGCUACUUAGUUAUCGCCACCAAAUGUUCUUGUGACAGACUCUUAGUCAAAUGCUUGUUCAACCUCACUGUUUACCAUAAUAUAUAACUGUAGUAAAUCUCAUUGUUGAACCUCAAACCUCCUGAAAAAGCUGGUUGCAUUAUGGACCUUAAUUGCAUGUUACCACAGCCUUAUAGACAAUAGUAGGGCAUUGAAGAGAUUGCUGAAGGGAAAAUAAAACAUAGAUGCUUGCAUCAUUCUGUUCGUUCUUUGCACCUCCUUUUGCUUGAUCAAAAGUAGAUCCAAAAACUAUCAUUCUUCCCCCUAACCACCUUUACUUCUUUUUCCUCCUCCGCAAGCUCAACUGGUAGGCGUCGCACGUACGGAUAAUGCUAGGCUAUUACUAGCCGUAGUGAGGGCUUAACAGCCCUAAGCCAUCUUUUCCUCACCAGAAACACUAUCUUAUACAGAGAAAAGGAGGGCACAAAGGCUGGACGAUGCAUGGUGCGGUGUGGUGUGAUGUGAGUGACCCCAUGCAUCAACAUUGUAGUUGGCACCGAAUCCCACUCUCCGAGGCAGCUUCACCAUGACACAAUCCAUCCAUCUCUUUUCCUUUUGGUUUUGGCUCUUAAAAGUUGCGUAUCUUUAGCUCUUUCCAAGGGAGGGUACUUCCAUCCAGCCUCCCCCCACAACAAUGUUCUACCACUAGUCCACUACUCAGUCUGUCACUCAUGGCCACCACCGCGCGCAUUGCGUUUCCUGUUUGGUCCGGCCUCCAGGAUGGAUGAUAUCUGGACCCGUAGGAACGAGAUCUGGACACCGGCCUUCAGGUCCGGUGGCUUCUGAUUCCCGGGCUCUGAACCUUCAAAUCAUGCUUACCAUUAACAAUGCUCCCCCCUCCCUUUUGCGAUCGAUUCGAUCUCGUGGCGCCUUUUACAGGACGCCAGUGUGAAUCCGAGCCGCGACUAAACGCUCAGGAUGUUGGAGGGGGAAUAAAGCGUGCGCUUGUCUCGGCCGCUUUGCGAUCGCGAGCCUCUGAUGCGCAUAACCUGCUGUUUUUAGAGCAAUUUUGUAUUGCAGGCAAUAUGGAUGGCUGGGGAAUGAUUCACUGAAUACCACCUCCCAAAUUCCUAACGGCUACCUGCCGGUGCGCUCUUUUGUCCCGGGCCACGCACGCUGAUCAGACUCCAGAGGAUGCCGUGCGCGAGCCAGAUGAGCAGAGCUCCGCAGGCUGGCCCCUGGCGUGGCGUGGCGCGCCGUGCGGUCGCCGGACGGAAUGGCAGUUUUGGCCUUGCCCCGGCGCCGGGGGCAUGGCCGGGACGGGCGGUUUUGUUGGGGCUUGGACGCACGCUGCCGGCCUCGCCGUCCCGUGUGUCACGGGUACUUGUGUUGUGCGGCACCGGCCUGGCCCCGGACACCGUGAUGAUGUUAACCUGACCUCGCCGCUGCUGGCUCUCCAGUCUGCCCACUUGCCCGAGUCCAUUCUGAAGCCAGUCCCAGGUAAAAAAAGCGACACAUCCAUACCGCCAGUGCCCAGUGGGGCUGGUCCUAGGCAGGGCAGGGCUAGCUUCUGCUCAUUGCUCAUGAUGUGCCUGCCCCAACCCUGAUAACAUCACAAGUCCAGUCCCAGUCGAGUCCAGUCAACCGUCAUGUCCUCCAGCUCAUCGUGCCCGGCCCGGCCGGCAUCAACGGGCCCCGAGCGUGCCCGUUCGUCGCCGGAUACAAACGCCGGCUUCGGUUACGUGCAACGUGCGGCGCGCAUGUGAGGGGCUCAUUGGCCCGACGCGACGCUGCUCAGUGCUCACACGAGACAAAUCCGGCGAGGGCGAGGCCAGGAAGGAGGCAGGCAGCGCGCCAUGGGGGGGUGGGUGAGGUGAUGCAAGCCACAUGCGGCCUUGCACGGCUGUUGCUGGGCAGCUCGACACAUCGAGGAGACCACACAUGGGGCCGGACGAGCCUGGCGUGCCCUAGAGAGCGCAGGGCAGAGAGCAUUGGAGUUUCAAGGGCGGCUUGGCUUGGCUAUGCUUUUGCUUGGAACGCACAAGUUUUUGUUAACUCCGUGCUCCAUACGAAGUUUCCUGUGUCUUUGCCAAUAAAAUGCUGCAAAAAUAUACACUUCGCGAAUAAAA